Molecule: ribosomal RNA, 220 nt
Filed under: uncultured bacterium
Lineage: Bacteria
Description: partial 16S ribosomal RNA
Rfam family: Bacterial small subunit ribosomal RNA
Source: RNAcentral
GCAAGUCGAACGAUCUCUUCGGAGAUAGUGGCAGACGGGUUAGUAACGCGUGGGAACCUACCUAGUAGUGCGGAAUAGCCUCGGGAAACUGGGAUUAAUACCGCAUACGCCCUUAGGGGGAAAGAUUUAUCGCUAUUAGAUGGGCCCGCGUUGGAUUAGUUUGUUGGUGGGGUAAUGGCCUACCAAGACUACGAUCUAUAGCUGGUCUGAGAGGAUGAUC